Molecule: long non-coding RNA, 1503 nt
Organism: Oncorhynchus gorbuscha (pink salmon)
Lineage: Eukaryota; Metazoa; Chordata; Actinopteri; Salmoniformes; Salmonidae
Exons: 5
Source: RefSeq, a predicted model, not a curated record
GAUGACAGGUAAAUUAACCUCAGGUAAACUAAUGAUGACAGGCAAACUACCGUCAGGUAAACUAACCUCAGGUAAACUAAUGAUGACAGGUAAAUCCUACCAUAUCAUUCUCAGGGAGAACAGGCCAGAAACAUCCCUGUGGAGUCAGUGACAGAAGAACAGUUCACAGACGAGGAUGGAAACAUAGUCACCCGAAAAGUCAUCAGGAAAGUAGUACGUCGUAUUGCUGCUACGGCAACUACUUUUACUGCUGCUACUACUGCUACUACAGAGGAGGUGAAAGCAGGUGGAGCAGUAGGAGAAGGAGAAGCAGGAGGAAGAGGAGAAGCAGCAGGAGGAGGAGGAGGCAGGAAGGAAAAUAAGGGCAGGAAGAGAAACAAGCGCUCCCGAGGAGGCCCUAAGGCAGAGCAGGAGAGCUCUAAGGGUCAGAGGGGAAAGACUGAGUCUGGAGAAGGGUCAGGGUCGAAGGUGAAAAAGAAGCAAGUGGAAAAGGAUCAAUACUAACAGUCGUGUGCUCAACCUGGUUUGUUGAUGUUUCAUGACUUCCUGGAAGGGAGAUGACUGGAACUUGAAGCAGGAGAACAGCCAAUCAGAAUGUGUGUCUGCAGCUUUCACGUUAACGCAUGGUUUUACAGCAAGACCACUUUUUUUGAUUUCGCAUGAGCAUGAAAAACUUACUUUUCUGUCCACAACCUGGGCUCCAGUCAUGACCUGUUGUUACCACGGUGACAGGAGAACAGGGGUGUGGUCUGCUCCAUCAUGGCGUCAGGACAACAGUAGCCACGCCUCCAAGCAUCUCUCGGACCAAUGAGGUACAACAGGACGUUUGAUUGACAGAUUAGAGGAACACUUGGAGUCACCUUCUACAAGCCUUAUAUAUUCUGUCCUGUAGCCACACCACUGGGGUGGGUGUAUAAUGUGGUUGUGUUUUUUAAUAACAACGGGUGGAUUGGUUGUAUAUAAAUGACACUGUAAAAACUUCUGAAGUUAGUCACUGAUCGUUUGUUUUCUGCACUGGUAGGACAGCUUCGCAAAGCAUUGGAAUGAAAUGCCUAUAUUGAUUCCACCUUUAUGAAAAUGCUUGGGUGUUACUGCACAUGUCUAAUUAUCAGCAGGAAAUAUUUGUCAAAUCGAAAUGGUAGCUUGAUUUUAACUCCACUGCAACUCUCAAACAUCACUUCUAUGAACAUAUUUCCUCAGAGUACUAAUAUUUUGAUGCAUGAGAUUCACCUGGUUUGACUUACUUUUCCUCAUUUGCGAACAUUGUAUUAUGAAAUAAGGUGUUACUUCUAUCAGUGUCUGUCUCCUCUGCUCUGGCACUGACUGUUUUAAAGAGACAUGAACACACAGCCACCUGGGGGACAGCAGGACAGAGAGGGAGACUUCAUUCUAAUGCUUUAUGAGGGCCCACUGUGUAACAUGGAAUAUGCCUCUACUAUUAAAGACGUGGAGAUAUGAGAGCUCCCACUAUAUCAUGUAGACUGUCACAUUGAAAAGGGUUAG